Molecule: ribosomal RNA, 497 nt
Filed under: uncultured bacterium
Lineage: Bacteria
Description: partial 16S ribosomal RNA
Rfam family: Bacterial small subunit ribosomal RNA
Source: RNAcentral
GAUGAACGCUGGCGGCGUGCCUAAUACAUGCAAGUCGAGCGAACAGAUGAGGAGCUUGCUCCUCUGACGUUAGCGGCGGACGGGUGAGUAACACGUGGAUAACCUACCUAUAAGACUGGGAUAACUUCGGGAAACCGGAGCUAAUACCGGAUAAUAUAUUGAACCGCAUGGUUCAAUAGUGAAAGACGGUUUUGCUCUCACUUAUAGAUGGAUCCGCGCCGCAUUAGCUAGUUGGUAAGGUAACGGCUUACCAAGGCAAGGAUGCGUAGCCGACCUGAGAGGGUGAUCGGCCACACUGGAACUGAGACACGGUCCAGACUCCUACGGGAGGCAGCAGUAGGGAAUCUUCCGCAAUGGGCGAAAGCCUGACGGAGCAACGCCGCGUGAGUGAUGAAGGUCUUCGGAUCGUAAAACUCUGUUAUUAGGGAAGAACAAAUGUGUAAGUAACUAUGCACGUCUUGACGGUACCUAAUCAGAAAGCCACGGCUAACUACGUG